UACGUAGGUGGCAAGCGUUGUCCGGAUUUACUGGGCGUAAAGAGCGCGCAGGCGGUCGUUUAAGUCGAAUGUGAAAGCCCCCGGCUCAACUGGGGAGGGUCAUUCGAUACUGAUCGACUUGAAGGCAGGAGAGGGAAGUGGAAUUCCGAGUGUAGAGGUGAAAUUCGUAGAUAUUCGGAAGAACACCAGUGGCGAAGGCGACUUACUGGACACAUAUUGACGCUGAGGUGCGAAAGCGUGGGGAGCAAACAGG
This 253-nucleotide ribosomal RNA is filed under the name uncultured bacterium. RNAcentral describes it as "partial 16S ribosomal RNA". It matches the Rfam family "Bacterial small subunit ribosomal RNA", at positions 524 to 776 of the family's 1533-position model. The record is from RNAcentral.